CGAACGCUGGCGGCGUGCUUAACACAUGCAAGUCGAACGCGAAGGGACUUCGGUCCUGAGUAAAGUGGCGCACGGGUGAGUAACGCGUAGAUAACCUGUCUUCAUGUCUGGAAUAAUACGCCGAAAGGGGUACUAAUACCGGAUAUUCUUGCUUUUCAUAAGUUAUGCAAGCAAAGGUGGCCUCUGCAUAUGCUACUGCAUGAAGAGGGGUCUGCGUACCAUUAGCUAGUAGGUGGGGUAAUGGCCUACCUAGGCGACGAUGGUUAGCGGGUCUGAGAGGAUGAUCCGCCACACUGGCACUGGAACACGGGCCAGACUCCUACGGGAGGCAGCAGUGAGGAAUAUUGCGCAAUGGGGGAAACCCUGACGCAGCGACGCCGCGUGAGUGAAGGAAGGCCUUCGGGUCGCAAAGCUCUGUCAAGAGGAAAGAAGUGUACAAUGGCUAAUACCUGUUGUAUUUGACGGUACCUCUAAAGGAAGCACCGGCUAACUCCGUGCCAGCCGCGGC
RNAcentral lists this ribosomal RNA (508 nucleotides) under uncultured bacterium. Its description in RNAcentral is "bacterial SSU rRNA". It matches the Rfam family "Bacterial small subunit ribosomal RNA", at positions 30 to 518 of the family's 1533-position model. The record is from RNAcentral.